UCAUCUCAUAUUUCUUUGUUUUCUUUUAAAUCAGUCAUCAUCAUUUUAGUUUCUUAUUUGCCAUUUACAGUCUUCCAAAUUAAAUAUUUUUUAUCAAUAUUUUUUUUUAUAUAUAUUUUUGCACUUGAAUAUAUAGUAAGUCAUAUUCCGUUUAUCUCAAUUUAAACAUUUCUUUUCAAAUUUAGCUUUAUCAAUGACUCCAUUUUCAAUUUAACCUAAUUCCUACAUAGAUUUUUUUUUACUUUAACUU
RNAcentral lists this long non-coding RNA (250 nucleotides) under Mytilus galloprovincialis (Mediterranean mussel). Lineage: Eukaryota; Metazoa; Mollusca; Bivalvia; Mytilida; Mytilidae. The record is from RNAcentral.